Molecule: long non-coding RNA, 287 nt
Organism: Xiphias gladius (swordfish)
Lineage: Eukaryota; Metazoa; Chordata; Actinopteri; Istiophoriformes; Xiphiidae
Exons: 3
Source: RefSeq, a predicted model, not a curated record
GGCCAACUCGCGCUCCCCGCAGACCCGUGUUCACCGCGUUGACAGCGACGACCCUCAGUGCCUUUAAUCCACUGCUCGACUGUGGCCCUUCCCUGGAUGUUGACACACUGUGAGAUGACAAUAAAACUGAAGUUGAGGAAACUAGCUGUGCUGAAAGGAUUUUUCUACCAGACCAUCUGCAUUUGGAUUCAGCAGCAGAUGGAAAAUCUGCCGUGGAGUCGAGUCGAGUCCCAGACGUCCUGUAGUUUUGUGUAAUUAUCCGUGCCCUGCAGUCUGAAGAGCAUGAG